RNAcentral lists this ribosomal RNA (562 nucleotides) under Bombus polaris. RNAcentral describes it as "partial large subunit ribosomal RNA". It matches the Rfam family "Bacterial large subunit ribosomal RNA", at positions 1783 to 2629 of the family's 2925-position model. The record is from RNAcentral. Lineage: Eukaryota; Metazoa; Arthropoda; Insecta; Hymenoptera; Apidae.
CACCCUGUUUUUACACCUGUUUAUCAAAAACAUGGCUUAUUGAAUUAUAAUUUUAAGUCAAUCUGCCCAAUGAUAUAAUUUAAUGGCUGCAGUAUAACUGACUGUACAAAGGUAGCAUAAUCAAUUGUUUUUUAAUUAAAAACUGGUAUGAAAGAAUUAAUGAGAUAUAUACUGUCUCAUAUAUAUUUUAUAAAUUUAAAUUUUUAGUAAAAAUGCUUAAAUUUUUUUAUGGGACGAUAAGACCCUAUAGAAUUUUAUAUUAAUAUUUCAAUUAUAAUUAAUUUUUAAUAUUAAUAUUUUAUUGGGAGGAUAGGUAAAUUAAUAUAACUUUAUUUUAAAUAAAAACUUAAAUUCAAGAAUAUUAUUUGAUCUUAUAUUAAAAAUUAAAAGAAUAAAUUACCUUAGGGAUAACAGCGUAAUAUCUUUUUAAAGAUCAUAUUGAUAAAGAUGAUUGCGACCUCGAUGUUGAAUUAAGAUAAAUUUUAAAUGGAGAAAUUUAAUAAUUAAGUCUGUUCGACUUUUAAAAUCUUACAUGAUUUGAGUUCAAAUCGACGUAAGUCAG